This 547-nucleotide ribosomal RNA is filed under the name uncultured bacterium. RNAcentral's name for it is "bacterial SSU rRNA". It matches the Rfam family "Bacterial small subunit ribosomal RNA", at positions 355 to 896 of the family's 1533-position model. The record is from RNAcentral.
UGGGGAAUAUUGCGCAAUGGGGGGAACCCUGACGCAGCCAUGCCGCGUGAAUGAAGUAGGCCUUCGGGUUGUAAAGUUCUUUCGGUAUUGAGGAAGGUUGAUGUGUUAAUAGCACAUCAAAUUGACGUUAAAUACAGAAGAAGCACCGGCUAACUCCGUGCCAGCAGCCGCGGUAAUACGGAGGGUGCGAGCGUUAAUCGGAAUAACUGGGCGUAAAGGGCACGCAGGCGGUUAUUUAAGUGAGGUGUGAAAGCCCUGGGCUUAACCUAGGAAUUGCAUUUCAGACUGGGUAACUAGAGUACUUUAGGGAGGGGUAGAAUUCCACGUGUAGCGGUGAAAUGCGUAGAGAUGUGGAGGAAUACCGAAGGCGAAGGCAGCCCCUUGGGAAUGUACUGACGCUCAUGUGCGAAAGCGUGGGGAGCAAACAGGAUUAGAUACCCUGGUAGUCCACGCUGUAAACGCUGUCGAUUUGGGGAUUGGGCUUAGAGCUUGGUGCCCGUAGCUAACGUGAUAAAUCGACCGCCUGGGGAGUACGGCCGCAAGGUUA